CAGCCGCCACGGGAAUACGAAGGGGGCUAGCGUUGCUCGGAAUGACUGGGCGUAAAGGGCGCGUAGGCGGCGAUCAAAGUCAGGCGUGAAAUUCCUGGGCUCAACCUGGGGGCUGCGUUUGAUACUUGAUUGCUAGAGUGGGGAAGAGGGUCGUGGAAUCCCCAGUGUAGAGGUGAAAUGCGUAGAUAUAUGGAGGAACACCGGUGGCGAAAGCGGCUCUCUGGCUUGUAACUGACGCUGAGGCUCGAAAGCGUGGGGAGCAAACAGGAUUAGAUACCCGUGUAGUCCCUGUCUCUUAUAU
Molecule: ribosomal RNA, 301 nt
Filed under: uncultured bacterium
Lineage: Bacteria
Description: partial 16S ribosomal RNA
Rfam family: Bacterial small subunit ribosomal RNA
Source: RNAcentral